CACCAGCCGACAGCUCGUGCCUCUACAACCAUGCCUCAACCCUGCUGUGGACCGAACCAGGGCUGCAAUUGCGCGCCGGGCUGCAAGUGUGAUAGUUGCUCCUGCGCCUGCGACAAGAAGUGAACAAGUUGACCCUUCCGCGCCUGGAAAAGAAACAAUGCUGUCCGUCGAACUCCUUUCCCGUCCUUAUUCGUUUUAAGA
Bacillus rossius redtenbacheri is the source of this 201-nucleotide long non-coding RNA. RefSeq lists it as uncharacterized. The record is from RefSeq and is a predicted model, not a curated record. NCBI's taxonomy places the organism in Eukaryota, Metazoa, Arthropoda, Insecta, Phasmatodea, Bacillidae. The transcript is spliced from 3 exons.